GACGAACGCUGGCGGCGUGCUUAACACAUGCAAGUCGAACGCUGAAGCUCAGCUUUUGUUGGGUGGAUGAGUGGCGAACGGGUGAGUAACACGUGAGUAACCUGCCCCCUUCUUUGGGAUAACGCCCGGAAACGGGUGCUAAUACUGGAUAUUCACUGGUCUUCGCAUGGGGGUUGGUGGAAAGGGUUUUUCUGGUGGGGGAUGGGCUCGCGGCCUAUCAGCUUGUUGGUGGGGUGAUGGCCUACCAAGGCUUUGACGGGUAGCCGGCCUGAGAGGGUGACCGGUCACAUUGGGACUGAGAUACGGCCCAGACUCCUACGGGAGGCGGCAGUGGGGAAUAUUGCACAAUGGGCGCAAGCCUGAUGCAGCGACGCCGCGUGAGGGAUGGAGGCCUUCGGGUUGUGAACCUCUUUCGCUCAUGGUCAAGCCGCAACAAUGGUUGUGGUGAGGGCAGUGGGUAAAGAAGCGCCGGCUAACUACGUG
Molecule: ribosomal RNA, 483 nt
Filed under: uncultured bacterium
Lineage: Bacteria
Description: partial 16S ribosomal RNA
Rfam family: Bacterial small subunit ribosomal RNA
Source: RNAcentral